RNAcentral lists this long non-coding RNA (703 nucleotides) under Pogona vitticeps (central bearded dragon). RNAcentral's name for it is "lncRNA (ENSPVIG00000005631.1)". Lineage: Eukaryota; Metazoa; Chordata; Lepidosauria; Squamata; Agamidae. The record is from RNAcentral.
AUGAAGCUCCUUGUGGCUUCAGUUCUUCUUGUCUUUCUCGCUUGCCCAAAGGAAAGCAUUUCGGUUCCUGUUUUGGUGGUGAGUAUUAGAGAUCUUUGUGUUCGGAGACUACUGUUUGAAUUCUGCUUCAUACCUUCUUCAUGCAACAGCUAUAUCCUAAGUUCUAAGAUGAGGUCUGUACAUUUGUUGUGUCAGAUGAGUGUGCUAAAGAGGUGGAAGAGUUGUGAACAUUUUUGUGUGCUCUGUCACCUCUAAGGAUGGCAGUAUCCCAUUUGCUCUGAUGGACCAGCUGGCACCAAACUCCGAACUGCCCCUCCCAGAACAUCUAUGUAUCGUCUCUCAUAAAACUAGACAGUUGGCAUUCAGCUCUGUACUGAAAAGCUAAACCAUCCACUUAAUUUUAAUAUAUGCAUGAAAUCUUUGAUGGAAUACUAAUGGGGGAAACAAUUCAAAAUAGUUGCAGUGUGGGCAGAAGCAUUUGAUUGAGUGCUUUAUUAGAGGUUUUUUUCCCCUCCCUCCCUGGAAAUAGUCUUAGGGACAAUACAGUAAUUAAACCAUGACUCCAAUGUGAUUAAAAGUGUAACAAAAAGAAACAAAUCCAGACAAGAAACGUUUCAAUGUGUUUUACUCUGGGAUACAUUUUGUUUUAAGCUUCUAUGUACAUUGGCUGGUUGUGUUUUUAUUGUUAAAAAAAAUUGGCAAU